Molecule: long non-coding RNA, 487 nt
Organism: Pieris napi
Lineage: Eukaryota; Metazoa; Arthropoda; Insecta; Lepidoptera; Pieridae
Exons: 2
Source: RefSeq, a predicted model, not a curated record
UAUUUGCUGCUGCUUACAAACCUCAACACUUGGCACGAGAUCUCGCGGGAUCGGGAUUGCAUUUCCUAAUUGUUGCUUAUCAGCAUUUAGCCAUUGUCAGUGUUAUCCAGUUACAAACGCGUCGCAUCGCUUCGACUCUGUGCCAAUGUGAGUUGAGUCUUAUAGGUCUACCAGAAUCUUAUGGCAAAAAUUUUUUUUUAAAAUUAGCGAUUUUCAUAUGGCAAUAAAAGAAAAAUUUCAUCUGUCAACUGAAAUUUCGAGGAUUUGUUUUUGGUUUGGCUUCAAAUUUCCUUUAAAAAGUGAUGAAAAUGUCGAAGAAACCUCUUCGAUCGCUAGCAAGACAUAUUGUUUUCAAUGUUUAUCAAAGAAUACUUGAUCAACAAGAUGCAGAACAUACACAAUCAUCGAUAUUGAGCCAUGUGCAAGCGUUGACUGGGGUUUCUUAUACUACAAAUAAACUUGGAUAGUUUUGAUUUAGAAUUGAUCA